RNAcentral lists this long non-coding RNA (252 nucleotides) under Mytilus galloprovincialis (Mediterranean mussel). The record is from RNAcentral. Lineage: Eukaryota; Metazoa; Mollusca; Bivalvia; Mytilida; Mytilidae.
UUUAUAUAUUUAGGUCUUUCCACUUUUCUGUGGAAAGACCUAUUGUUUUUCUUCUGAUUAUUUUUUUUUUCUUCCGCCUAAUUUUGUUCUUGCGAUAAACAUUUGUUUCGCAAUAUGUCGCUUAGAUAUUUGGUAUAUGAUAUCGAACAGUUUAUGCGCUUUUGAAAUUUACCCUGCGUAAACGAAUACUUUUCUUUGUAGGAGUUAUCUCCCCAAACACUGUUUUCCUUGUUAGCGCAUCUCCUUCGCAAC